This 422-nucleotide ribosomal RNA is filed under the name uncultured bacterium. Its description in RNAcentral is "bacterial SSU rRNA". It matches the Rfam family "Bacterial small subunit ribosomal RNA", at positions 355 to 774 of the family's 1533-position model. The record is from RNAcentral.
UGAGGAAUAUUGGGCAAUGCCCGCAAGGGUGACCCAGCAACGCCGCGUGGAGGAUGAAUGUCGUAAGAUUGUAAACUCCUGUUAGAGGGGAAGAAUAGUACCGGUUGGACCGGUAUAUGACUGUACCCCCAGAGAAAGCCUUGGCUGACUACGUGCCAGCAGCCGCGGUAAUACGUAGGGGGCAAGCGUUGUCCGGAUUUACUGGGUGUAAAGGGCGCGCAGGCGGGAUAAAAAGUCAGUGGUAAAAUCCUACAGCUUAACUGUAGAACUGCCUUUGAUACUUUUAUUCUUGAGUUCGGGAGAGAGAGACGGAAUUCCAGGUGUCGUGGUGAAAUACGUAGAUAUCUGGAAGAACACCAGUUGCGAAGGCGGUCUCUUGGUCCGACACUGACGCUGAGGCGCGAAAGCGUGGGGAGCAAACA